UGCAACCGUUCGUUGGUACCCGC
Molecule: non-coding RNA, 23 nt
Filed under: Arabidopsis thaliana (thale cress)
Lineage: Eukaryota; Viridiplantae; Streptophyta; Magnoliopsida; Brassicales; Brassicaceae
Source: RNAcentral